GCUGGGCAUGGUGGCACACACCUGUAAUCUCAGCUACUCGGGAGGCUGAGGCAGGAGAAUCACUUGAGCCUGGGAAGCAGAGAGUGCAGUGAGCUGAGAUCAUGUCACUGCACUCUGACCUGGGCAACAAAGUGAGAUCCUGUCUCAG
Molecule: non-coding RNA, 148 nt
Filed under: Chlorocebus sabaeus (green monkey)
Lineage: Eukaryota; Metazoa; Chordata; Mammalia; Primates; Cercopithecidae
Source: Rfam by way of RNAcentral